This 1031-nucleotide long non-coding RNA is filed under the name Physcomitrium patens. Its description in RNAcentral is "long non-coding RNA (PPAT_LNC002254)". Lineage: Eukaryota; Viridiplantae; Streptophyta; Bryopsida; Funariales; Funariaceae. The record is from RNAcentral.
UAGACUUAAUAGAGUGUUGAUAGGAAUUAAUUUGGGAUGAUUUAGAUUUGUAAUGACUUUGUAAGAGCUUUGCAAAGUUAUGGUUUAUUUUGGGUGACUCUGGAUUUGUGAAAUAAAAUGGGUGAUACUUUUUGGAAAAUUUUAUAAAUUUGGCAAUAGAUCUAUAAGUGAAUUUUUUUAAGUUAGUAGUUGUAGUUGUGUUUAAUAUGUUCUAUGAAUUUGGAUUUGAUCAAAUGAUUAGAUUGAAAAGCAUGAAGGUUUUUGUGGAUUAUAGUCUUGGAAUUUAGGACUUUAGGGACCAAUGAGGUUUUCUUAGAUAUCUAUCAAUUUGCUAAUUAGAUUGAGGAAAAUUUUUUUAUAAAGAUAGUCAGCUUAAUUUUUAACAAGUAUGUUAAGUUUGGAAGCAAAAUAAUAGUUCAAUUAGGAGUAAUUGGCUUUGGGAGUUUGGUACCAAGGUCAAAGAAGGAGGCUAGCCAACACCCAAGCACAUUUUUGAGGUUAUCAUCUAUUUGGUAAUUUUGAUCAUUUCUAAUUUUUUUGUGCUUAUUUUUAAUUUAAUUGUUAAGAAAUGUGCAAAUUUUGAGUUGAAAUCAAUGAUUCAUUCAUUAGUUAUUGAGGUCUAAAUGUGUUAUAGGAAUUACUUGGAAUUGAUUAGGGUUUAAUUAGGAUUUGGUUAGGAUUUUGUUAGAGUUUAUUUAGGAUUUGAUUAGGAUCUGGUUAGGACUUGAUUAGAAUUUGAUUAAAAUUCAAUUAGGAUUUUAUUAGAGUUUGUUUAGGAUUUUUUGAAGAUUUGAUUAAAAUUUGAUUAGAAUUUGACUAAGAUUUGUCUAGAAUUUAUUUAGGAUUUGGUUAGAUUUUAUUUAGGAUUUGAUUAAGAUUUGAUUAGGGUUUGUUUAAGAUUUGGUUAGGGCUUAUUUAGGAUUUGUUUAGUAUUUGACUAGGAUUUGUUUAGAGUUUGGUUAGGAUUUGUUUAGGAUUUGAUUAAGAUUUAAUUAGAUUUUGACUAAGUUUUGACUAAAGUUUGAUCAAGA